CCUAGGUAUAUACUGCUUUUCAUAGCACACACUUCUGAAAACUGGCACUUCGACUUCCCACCCACCCAAACAACAACUCAUCUUAUUCCGUUCUAUUCUUUAUCUUUCCAUGCUGUUGGCAGCCCGGUUAAAUUGACUUCACACCCCACUGGUGGGCAAGUUGCUGGUCAAGGCUGAGCCUUCCACUUAAAAAGUACAAUCUCCAGGCCCCAGUGAGGUGAAGGGGCUUAUCCAAAUUUAUAAUAUAUGUGAUUGGAAGGGCGUGGGUGUGUACGUGUGCACGUUUAUUGAAAAGAAAAACACUCAACUUAUUUCAUCCCUCCAAAUGUUCUCUUCCAAACCACACGCAUAUCAGCCUGUUUUGAAAGGUUUUUCGCAAGGCAGGUGUCAGGUAACACGUCAAUUUCACGACCAGCGAAAUAAACAAAGUCCUCCUUGUGCUGAGAAGGGAGGAGCUUGGGGUGGGGGGGGGGUUGUGGAGGGUUGAGGCCAUGACCCCUCAUAUGGGGGGAGCUACUUGGGAUCCCACACAGACGUCCUCGGGAGGGGUGGCCGUGAGCCUGGUCACAUCGUCCACCCCCCCCCCCCCCCCCCCCGUGUGGCAAGGUGUCUAUGCUGCCUCGGGAAGGACCCUUGCUGGACACUAGGAGGGUGGCCGAUGACAGCUUGCCCAUGUGAGCCCGGGAUGUGUGCUGCAUGUGGCUGACAGUUGUGCGGGAAGCUGUUCUGCCCUGAACCAGUUCAUCCCGGAGAAGCUCCCUGUGACGACUUUGAAAGUAGCAGAACCCGUUCCCCCUUUGGCAGGACUCUGCGCCUUUCGCUCACUUCAAGUCAAGACUAAUAUCCCUAAUGAUUUUGAAGGGCCAUAAACGAUUCCUUUAUGCCCGGCUGGGGGUUGGCCAGAGUUCCACUUGCAACCCACAACAUACACGCACGUUCCACAGAAAAAUAAAUACCGGCGUAACCAUGUGGACGCCGGGCCUCGGAACAUGGCCAUUUUCGGUCAGAUCUUGCCCAAGACUCCCUCACGCCAUCACUACAAAUUGACCUCACCUCAAAGCCACGCUGAUAAGGAAGACCCAGGAAUUUCUGGAGAUGUCUUUCAGUUACACAGCAUGAGGCUUUGUAACGGAGUUUCAUGUGCCCCCCACGGCCCACCCGGUCCCAUGCACAGCUUGCAGUAAAACAGGCAAACUACCUGGCUCUUCAGUGUUUUUAAAAGGAAACACUUGGGGCGCCUGGGUGGCGCAGUCGGUUGGGCGUCCGACUUCAGCCAGGUCACGAUCUCGCGGUCCGGGAGUUCGAGCCCCGCGUCAGGUUCUGGGCUGAUGGCUCGGAGCCUGGAGCCUGUUUCCAAUUCUGUGUCUCCCUCUCUCUCUGCCCCUCUUCCGUUCAUGCCCUGUCUCUCUCUGUCCCAAAAAUAAAUAAACGUUGAAAAAAAAAAAAAAAAAGGAA
This 1455-nucleotide long non-coding RNA is filed under the name Felis catus (domestic cat). RNAcentral's name for it is "lncRNA (ENSFCAG00000050345.1)". The record is from RNAcentral. Lineage: Eukaryota; Metazoa; Chordata; Mammalia; Carnivora; Felidae.